UCAAGCGUGAGGUAAGAGCAUUUGGUGGAUGCCUUGGCAUGUGCAGGCGAUGAAGGACGUGGCACGCUGCGAUAAGCGUCGGGGAGAUGUGAGCAAUCUUUGAUCCGGCGAUUUCCGAAUGGGGAAACCCACCCUCACCAUUUCCUUUCGAUUGUUUUCGGACAGUCGGAAAGAGGUGGAUAGGGUAUCACCAGACUGAAUACAUAGGUUUGGUGAAGCGAACCCGGGGAACUGAAACAUCUCAGUACCCGGAGGAAAAGACAUCAACAGAGAUUCCCGUAGUAGUGGCGAGCGAACCGGGACCAGGCCAGUGCCUUCAUUUCAACUAGCAAAACACUUUGGAAAGAGUGGCCAUAGCGGGUGACAGCCCCGUAUGCGAAAGUGAUGAUGAAGGACUCGAGUAGGGCGGGACACGUGAAAUCCUGUCUGAACAUGGGGGGACCACCCUCCAAGCCUAAAUACUCGCACAUGACCGAUAGCGAACACAGUACCGUGAGGGAAAGGUGAAAAGCACCCCGAUUAGGGGAGUGAAACAGUACCUGAAACCGGAUGCUUACAAGCAGUUGGAGCCCCAUAGGGGGUGACAGCGUACCUCUUGCAUAAUGGGUCAGUGACUUAAUCUACCAUGCAAGCUUAAGCCGUUAGGUGUAGGCGCAGCGAAAGCGAGUCUGAAUAGGGCGACUGAGUAUGAUGGAUUAGACCCGAACCCCGGCGAUCUAGGCAUGGCCAGGUUGAAGGUGCGGUAACACGCACUGGAGGACCGAACCGGUGAAUGUUGAAAAAUUCUCGGAUGAGCUGUGUUUAGGGGUGAAAGGCCAAUCAAGCCGGGAAAUAGCUGGUUCUCCGCGAAAUCUAUUGAGGUAGAGCGUCGGAUGUAUGCCGAUGGGGGUAGAGCACUGGAUGGGCUAGGGCUGCGCGAGCGGUACCAAACCUAACCAAACUCCGAAUACCAUCGAGUCUUAUCCGGCAGACAGACGGCGGGUGCUAAGGUCCGUCGUCAAAAGGGAAACAGCCCUAACCUACAGCUAAGGUCCCCAAGUCAUAUCUAAGUGGGAAAGCAUGUGGGAAUCCCAAAACAACCAGGAGGUUGGCUUAGAAGCAGCCAUCCUUUAAAGAAAGCGUAACAGCUCACUGGUCUAAACAAGGGUUCCUGCGGCGAAGAUGUAACGGGGCUAAAGAUAUGCACCGAAGCUUAGGGUUCAGANNUUANUCUGAGCGGUAGCGGAGCGUUCCGUAAGCGAGUGAAGGCGAAGGGUAACCGACGCUGGACGUAUCGGAAGUGCGAAUGCUGACAUGAGUAGCGACAAAGAGGGUGAGAUGCCCUCUCGCCGAAAGACCAAGGGUUCCUGCGCAACGCUAAUCGGCGCAGGGUUAGCCGGCCCCUAAGACGAGCCCGAAGGGGGUAGUCGAUGGGAACCACGUAAAUAUUCGUGGGCCUGGAGAUGUGUGACGGAUCGUGGAAGUUGUUCGACCUUAUUGGAUUGGUCGGGCAGCCAAGCGGUUCCAGGAAAUAGCCUCUCCGUAUAGACCGUACCCGAAACCGACACAGGUGGUCAGGUAGAGUAUACCAAGGCGCUUGAGAGAAGUAUCCUGAAGGAACUCGGCAAAUUGCCUCCGUACCUUCGGAAGAAGGAGGCCCCAUAUCGACGCAAGUCUUUGUGGGGGGCACAGGCCAGGGGGUAGCGACUGUUUAGCAAAAACACAGCACUCUGCUAAGUCGGCUUCAAGACGACGUAUAGGGUGUGACGCCUGCCCGGUGCUCGAAGGUUAAGAGGAGGAGUGCAAGCUCCGAAUUGAAGCCCGAGUAAACGGCGGCCGUAACUAUAACGGUCCUAAGGUAGCGAAAUUCCUUGUCGGGUAAGUUCCGACCUGCACGAAUGGCGUAACGACUUCCCCACUG
This 1900-nucleotide ribosomal RNA is filed under the name metagenome. RNAcentral describes it as "bacterial LSU rRNA". It matches the Rfam family "Bacterial large subunit ribosomal RNA", at positions 1 to 2018 of the family's 2925-position model. The record is from RNAcentral.